This is a non-coding RNA of Carassius carassius (crucian carp), 489 nucleotides long. The record is from the annotation of a RefSeq genome assembly. Lineage: Eukaryota; Metazoa; Chordata; Actinopteri; Cypriniformes; Cyprinidae.
AUGGGCAUGCAAGUGGAGAUAGAGCUGGAGUGUGUGUGUGUGUGUGUUUCAGCUGGUCCCGCAGUGAAGCCCUCCGUGUCUCUGCUGCCUCCCUCUUCUCUGCAGAUCUCUGGAGACUCAGCCGCACUGCUCUGUCUGCUCAGCUCUUACUCUCCACAGGGGGCGCAGGUGAGCUGGACGCUGGACGGGUCAGAGGUCACCGAGGGGGUUCAGACCAGCGCAGAGAGCGAGCGGGACGGACGCUACAGCCGCAGCAGCGUCCUGAGCCUCAGCAAAGCACGCUGGGAAGCCGGCGAGCGCUUCGUCUGCAGAGUAACACAUGACGGAGCUGAUCACGAGACCUCGUUCCUCAAGAGCUCCGAGUGCUGAUGUUUCUCCAGUGAAGAGCAGCAGGAUUCACAGCAGUCUCCUGAUUUACAGCUCAAUACUCAAGCAGUCUUUCAAUGUGCUGCCAUUGCUGUUCAUUCAAUAAAGCUUCUGAACGCCUUA